CCUACGGGAGGCAGCAGUAGGGAAUAUUGGUCAAUGGACGAGAGUCUGAACCAGCCAUGCCGCGUGCAGGAAGACUGCCCUCUGGGUUGUAAACUGCUUUUAUAUGGGAAGAAAAGGGCCUUGCGAGGCACAUUGACGGUACCAUAGGAAUAAGCCACGGCUAACUACGUGCCAGCAGCCGCGGUAAUACGUAGGUGGCGAGCGUUAUCCGGAUUUAUUGGGUUUAAAGGGUGCGUAGGCGGCUUUUUAAGUUGGUGGUUAAAGGUAGCAGCUCAACUGUUUUACAUGCCAUCAAAACUGAAGAGCUUGAGUUAUCAGGAGGCAGGCGGAAUUUCUGGUGUAGCGGUGAAAUGCAUAGAUACCAGAAGGAACACCUAUUGCGAAGGCAGCUUGCUGUAGAUACACUGACGCUGAUGCACGAAAGCGUGGGGAGCGAACAGGAUUAGAUACCCUGGUAGUCCACGCCGUAAACGAUGAUUACUAGUUGUUGGAGAUAUACAUUCAGUGACCAAGGGAAACCGAUAAGUAAUCCACCUGGGGAGUACGCCGGCAACGGUGAAACUCAAAGGAAUUGACGG
RNAcentral lists this ribosomal RNA (578 nucleotides) under uncultured Bacteroidota bacterium. RNAcentral's name for it is "bacterial SSU rRNA". It matches the Rfam family "Bacterial small subunit ribosomal RNA", at positions 338 to 916 of the family's 1533-position model. The record is from RNAcentral. Lineage: Bacteria; Pseudomonadati; Bacteroidota.